Mastomys coucha (southern multimammate mouse) is the source of this 876-nucleotide long non-coding RNA. RefSeq lists it as uncharacterized. The record is from RefSeq and is a predicted model, not a curated record. NCBI's taxonomy places the organism in Eukaryota, Metazoa, Chordata, Mammalia, Rodentia, Muridae. The transcript has 3 exons.
AGAUCAAACCCCAAACCUUACACAUGCCAGAUAAGUGAUUCACUGCUAAUCCCAAUCCCCAUCUUCUGCCCACAAGAUUCCUCGGGAGAGUUGGGAGAUGAGGUUGGUAGGGUUCUGGAGACAGGUGGAAAGCAACAUCACCUGUGGAUGGCAACACUUCUUUCCCACAACCUCAUCUGUUCUUCAGACCAAUUGUGCAAUUCUUAUUAAGAAUGUCCUUGUCUGUUUGGAGCUCCGGUGUGUGAAUUUCAGAUGAGCCCGUGCCAGCUUUUAAAUUCACACGGUUUGAAGAGACGAUGCAGUUGCAGCUGAUGGAAGCUUAGUGGCUGAGGAAGCCUGCCUGAAUUAGAAGCCUGUAUUCCAGUGAAGUCUCCAUCUUGCAGUUGCAGGGUUCUGGCUUGUCAUCAGUCAGACCAUAUUUCAAAGUGACGUCACAGCAAUUAACUGAUUGGCUCCUCCCAGCAUCCUGUGGAUAAGGGAGAGAAGGAAGCCAAGAACUUGAACGGUUUUGUGAACUUUGGCUCAAAGCAAGAUAGUGGUAGAGCUGGCACAAGAACUCCAUUCUUCUUCAUUUUACCAAGGAUCCAAGGCCUGGAGCACGGUAUUUAGAACUCUGCAGAAAGCUUCUUGGGUUGUUUAGCAGCAAGGCACUGGAAUGGAAUCAGAAAAUUAGCAUCAAGUUUCCUUUGCUACCUCCUCCAGAUCCACACUGCCUCCAUCUCCCUUAAGAAAAGAGCAGAACUUCAAGAGACAACAACCAAACACAACAAAGCAACAUACAAUAAGACAAGGCAAAGCUCUAAUACUGAGGCUGGACAAGGCAACCCAGCAGGAGGAAGAGUCCCGAGAUCAGAUCAAGGAAGGGCUGAAGAGAUG